This 195-nucleotide ribosomal RNA is filed under the name uncultured Comamonas sp. RNAcentral's name for it is "partial 16S ribosomal RNA". It matches the Rfam family "Bacterial small subunit ribosomal RNA", at positions 1187 to 1382 of the family's 1533-position model. Lineage: Bacteria; Pseudomonadati; Pseudomonadota; Betaproteobacteria; Burkholderiales; Comamonadaceae. The record is from RNAcentral.
AAGUCCUCAUGGCCCUUAUAGUGGGGCUACACACGUCAUACAAUGGCUGGUACAAAGGGUUGCCAACCCGCGAGGGGGAGCCAAUCCCAUAAAGCCAGUCGUAGUCCGGAUCGCAGUCUGCAACUCGACUGCGUGAAGUCGGAAUCGCUAGUAAUCGUGGAUCAGCAUGUCACGGUGAAUACGUUCCCGGGUCUU